RNA transcript from Arabidopsis thaliana (thale cress), 414 nucleotides. RefSeq lists it as uncharacterized. The transcript is spliced from 2 exons. NCBI's taxonomy places the organism in Eukaryota, Viridiplantae, Streptophyta, Magnoliopsida, Brassicales, Brassicaceae. The record is from RefSeq.
AAAAAGCUCGGCCACUGUAACAACAAAAAUGGAGACGACACAACUUCGAAGAGAAAUCAACUCGAAAUAGCCAAGAGAAUGUUCGAAAACCCCCUCAAAUCCGAUGCUUCCUUUGAUUCCAACCUCCAAAAGCCCAUCUGCUCAAAUCUCCAUUUCGAGGACGAGGACUCGAGGAGUAUUACAAGGAACAAAGGAUAGUGAAAGCUGAAGAGUGGGAUUCGUUUAUGGAGUUUCAGAGUAAGCCAUUACCUUUCAGAGUUUUUUUGCUUAUUUUAGAAUGCAAAUGACGUUGCUUCUAAAUAUUAUUUCUUCUCAAUCAUUCAUGCUCUGUUUUCCUCUCUUCUUAGGCUCUGUUUUGGUUUUUAAUUAGUGCACUGUUAUGUUGCAUAUACAUAUACCAUCGCCUUAGUGUAG